CAGCCGCCGCGGUAAUACGAAGGGGGCUAGCGUUGCUCGGAAUUACUGGGCGUAAAGGGAGCGUAGGCGGAUCGUUAAGUUGGGGGUGAAAGCCCGGGGCUCAACCUCGGAAUUGCCUUCAAUACUGGCGAUCUUGAGUAUGGAAGAGGUAUGUGGAACUCCGAGUGUAGAGGUGAAAUUCGUAGAUAUUGGGAAGAACACCGGUGGCGAAGGCGGCGACCUGGUCCGUGACUGACGCUGAUGCGCGAAAGCGUGGGGAGCAAACAGGAUUAGAGACCCCCGUAGUCGCUGUCUCUUAUAC
Molecule: ribosomal RNA, 301 nt
Filed under: uncultured bacterium
Lineage: Bacteria
Description: partial 16S ribosomal RNA
Rfam family: Bacterial small subunit ribosomal RNA
Source: RNAcentral